GAAUGCUGACAUAAGUAACGAUAAAGCGGGUGAAAAGCCCGCUCGCCGGAAGACCAAGGGUUCCUGUCCAACGUUAAUCGGGGCAGGGUGAGUCGACCCCUAAGGCGAGGCCGAAAGGCGUAGUCGAUGGGAAACGGGUUAAUAUUCCCGUACUUGGUGUUACUGCGAAGGGGGGACGGAGAAGGCUAUGUUGGCCGGGCGACGGUUGUCCCGGUUUAAGCGUGUAGGUGUGUGUUCCAGGUAAAUCCGGUUCACUUUAACACUGAGGCGUGACGACGAGGCACUACGGUGCUGAAGCAACAAAUGCCCUGCUUCCAGGAAAAGCCUCUAAGCAUCAGGUAACAUCAAAUCGUACCCCAAACCGACACAGGUGGUCAGGUAGAGAAUACCAAGGCGCUUGAGAGAACUCGGGUGAAGGAACUAGGCAAAAUGGUGCCGUAACUUCGGGAGAAGGCACGCUGACACGUAGGUGAAGUGAUUUACUCAUGGAGCUGAAGUCAGUCGAAGAUACCAGCUGGCUGCAACUGUUUAUUAAAAACACAGCACUGUGCAAACACGAAAGUGGACGUAUACGGUGUGACGCCUGCCCGGUGCCGGAAGGUUAAUUGAUGGGGUCAGCGCAAGCGAAGCUCCUGAUCGAAGCCCCGGUAAACGGCGGCCGUAACUAUAACGGUCCUAAGGUAGCGAAAUUCCUUGUCGGGUAAGUUCCGACCUGCACGAAUGGCGUAAUGAUGGCCAGGCUGUCUCCACCCGAGACUCAGUGAAAUUGAACUCGCUGUGAAGAUGCAGUGUACCCGCGGCAAGACGGAAAGACCCCGUGAACCUUUACUAUAGCUUGACACUGAACAUUGAGCCUUGAUGUGUAGGAUAGGUGGGAGGCUUUGAAGCGUGGACGCCAGUCUGCGUGGAGCCGACCUUGAAAUACCACCCUUUAAUGUUU
This 940-nucleotide ribosomal RNA is filed under the name Salmonella enterica. RNAcentral's name for it is "bacterial LSU rRNA". It matches the Rfam family "Bacterial large subunit ribosomal RNA", at positions 1292 to 2215 of the family's 2925-position model. The record is from RNAcentral. Lineage: Bacteria; Pseudomonadati; Pseudomonadota; Gammaproteobacteria; Enterobacterales; Enterobacteriaceae. RNAcentral also lists the same sequence under 3 other names.